AUUUUGGGCAUGUGAUUAUGUAUAAUAAUGUAUACUGGGAUAUGUGACUGUUAUAUGACAAACACUUUAUACAUAUAGUAUAUAAAGUUGUAGGGGCAAUAAGUUUCCUAAAAAUAAAAGUUACAUGACCAAUGAAAAAAGGAGAGUGACGUAGUUUUUUUCUUUUCUUAAAAGGGCGAAGGUGACGUGGUGGUGACUAGAAGAGCCAUGUCUGGUGUGGCGCCUAGUUAGCGUCGUGUCGGUACAUCGUCAGCUCCACAUGUCAACUAAUCGCUGGUCAAACAUAAUCAAUGUGCAUAAUUUGUUAUUUUGUUAUAACUUUUUUCUUAUUGAAUUUCAUCCUUGUGUUUUAUUCAAUAUGCACCUUUUUGUCGCAAUCAAUUCGCUUUUUUUUUGUUUUUAUGUUUAUGAAUAAUAGAAUGUA
Arabidopsis thaliana (thale cress) is the source of this 424-nucleotide long non-coding RNA. RefSeq annotates it as other RNA. The record is from RefSeq. The transcript has a single exon. NCBI's taxonomy places the organism in Eukaryota, Viridiplantae, Streptophyta, Magnoliopsida, Brassicales, Brassicaceae.